UGUUCCUGUGCUGUCCUGAACCCAGCAGCAACCAGCAGCCUCCUGCAGAUUAGAAACCUCCUUUCACCCUGGGGAUUUCUGUAGCCGGUUCUUUCGUUGGCACACUUGCUCUUGUGCUAAAAUUGUCCUGCGAUGGCUCUUCCUCCUCUGUGCUCGGUGGAGAUGCAGCAGCAAUCCUCUCCGCUUCAGCUUUCAUCUUGCCAGGCUAAACCCCAGCUCCUCUCGCAUUUACGAUUCUACAAAGGCCUCUUUUUGCAGCCCUUCUCAGCACCUUCCCAAACAGCUUGUUUCUGAGCUAAAGCAACCAGACCCAUGUGCUCUGCCCCUCACCAGGCACAAACCUGUACAAGGCAAGCCACCUUUUGUCUUCUGACAGUAUCUCACCAAAUCCUAGGACUAUAACAUAUUCCAGGGUUGAAUGUUAAGCAAAGGAAGUUAAAUUCCUGGACAGUCCUUCAUGCCAUACCUCAGGAAAAGUGCAAGUAACUAAGUGGCCUAUGUAACAGGUUACAGAGCAAAACACAGUGUAGUAUGAAGGGUGCAGUGACAAUGUUGAAAAAGGCUAUGUUAUAAAAUUCAUGUCCUUUACCACUUUGAAGUCCUAAUUUUUCACUUUGAUGCCUAAAGAGAAUUUUCACCUUUUUAGAUACUGAUAAACUAUAUCAGUCUCAGUUUUCUCAAUUUAGGAUUGUAUUCCCUCUUGAUGGGUGUUUGAAAAGGGUUCCACACCUCGCCAAAGGAGCUGUCUGACUGCGUAUAUCCACAAGAUGUAGAGAGAAAGUCUUUUGAAAAAUACCCUGACACAUACCAAUGUCUCUGCCUCAUCCUAGGAAGAGGCAUGUAGACUGCGUGAACAGCCUGUACGUUUGGAUUUGGGAGCUUUGCAUUGCAUUAGAAGGGAAGAAGGCAUCUAGGAGAAAAGAUGUGAUUUUUCCAAAUACAGUUAUCUAGGAAAAUCCCUCUCUCCCUUCACAGCCUGCAAGGUAUGACAUGUGGAAGGUAAGCGCGCCAUUCCUGCGCCACGCUGUGGGACUCUUCUGGCACGGGAUUUCAGGAAGCCAGGAAAGGAUCAGAGAGCAGCACUUGGGGGAAGGGAGUAACAUGGGAGCCGCCCUGCCUGCAACACUUAAUCCCCUGAAACCAACCUCUCUGAGCAAGUGCAACCACAGACAAGCUUCCUUUGUACUGGCUGCAGCCUUCGCCAGACCAGGCUCUCCCUGAACAAGAAGGUCACUGAGGCAUUGUGCUGCUUCGCAAUAAAGGAACCGCCUAGGGCAGACUUUUGUCUGGUUUGGGAUCCCUGCCACAAAAAAAUCUGCUUUAUGAAAACUGCAUUAAUGUGAGCAACUCUGUAUCACAGACUUUACUAAAGCAUCCCUAGAUAGGAAAGAUGCUCAGUGAGAAAUGUUUCUAAUUAGUUUGAUUAUGAAUGUUUGAUUUCUGAUUACCAGUCUAUUGACUAAAGAGUGAAUUUCUCCAUUAAUUACAUUAGAAAUUAGCAUGAAGGAAUGUCGGUAAACAUUUGGAGCAUCCCUUUCUCCCACAUUCUUCUUCCCCUCUGUGGUAAAGUUGGACCUCUCUGUGAAACUGAAUUUCUGAUUUCAAAGAAAUGAUCUCCUGUAUUUACAAAGGAAAAAGCCCAAUAUCUUUAUUAUGGUCUCAGAAUCUGCUAGAUUGUUCUUAAAAUUCCAAACAAAAAAAAAAAAGAAAAAGAA
Molecule: long non-coding RNA, 1715 nt
Organism: Dromaius novaehollandiae (emu)
Lineage: Eukaryota; Metazoa; Chordata; Aves; Casuariiformes; Dromaiidae
Exons: 2
Source: RefSeq, a predicted model, not a curated record